GAUGAACGCUGGCGGCGUGCCUAAUACAUGCAAGUCGAGCGAACGGACGAGAAGCUUGCUUCUCUGAUGUUAGCGGCGGACGUGUGAGUAACACGUGGAUAACCUACCUAUAAGACUUGGAUAACUUCGGGAAACCGGAGCUAAUACCGGAUGAUAUUUUGAACCGCAUGGUUCAAAAGUGAAAGACGGUCUUGCUGUCACUUAUAGAUGGAUCCGCGCUGCAUUAGCUAGUUGGUAAGGUAACGGCUUACCAAGGCAACGAUGCAUAGCCGACCUGAGAGGGUGAUCGGCAACACUGGAACUGAGACACGGUCCAGACUCCUACGGGAGGCAGCAGUAGGGAAUAUUCCGCAAUGGGCGAAAGCAUGACGGAGCAAAGCCGCGUGAGUGAUGAAGGUCUUCGGAUCGUAAAACUCUGUUAUUAGGGAAGAACAUAUGUGUAAGUAACUGUGCACAUCUUGACGGUACCUAAUCAGAAAGCCACGGCUAACUACGUG
Molecule: ribosomal RNA, 497 nt
Filed under: uncultured bacterium
Lineage: Bacteria
Description: partial 16S ribosomal RNA
Rfam family: Bacterial small subunit ribosomal RNA
Source: RNAcentral